UACGUAGGGGGCUAGCGUUGUCCGGAAUCAUUGGGCGUAAAGCGCGCGUAGGCGGUCAGGUAAGUCGGGUGUGAAAACUGGAGGCUCAACCUUCAGAGGUCGACCGAAACCAUCUGGCUAGAGUCCGGGAGAGGAGAGUGGAAUUCCUGGUGUAGCGGUGAAAUGCGCAGAUAUCAGGAAGAACACCCGUGGCGAAAGCGGCUCUCUGGAACGGUACUGACGCUGAGACGCGAAAGCGUGGGGAGCGAACAGG
This 253-nucleotide ribosomal RNA is filed under the name uncultured bacterium. RNAcentral describes it as "partial 16S ribosomal RNA". It matches the Rfam family "Bacterial small subunit ribosomal RNA", at positions 524 to 776 of the family's 1533-position model. The record is from RNAcentral.